Molecule: ribosomal RNA, 186 nt
Filed under: uncultured bacterium
Lineage: Bacteria
Description: partial 16S ribosomal RNA
Rfam family: Bacterial small subunit ribosomal RNA
Source: RNAcentral
GACUACAUGAAGCUGGAAUCGCUGGUAAUCGCGGAUCAGAAUGCCGCGGUGAAUACGUUCCCGGGUCUUGUACACACCGCCGUCACACCAUGGGAGUCGGAAAUGCCCGAAGUCAGUGACCUAACCGAAAGGAAGGAGCUGCCGAAGGUGGAGCCGGUAACUGGGGUGAAGUCGUAACAAGGUAAC